RNAcentral lists this long non-coding RNA (1034 nucleotides) under Fukomys damarensis (Damara mole-rat). RNAcentral describes it as "lncRNA (ENSFDAG00000025949.1)". Lineage: Eukaryota; Metazoa; Chordata; Mammalia; Rodentia; Bathyergidae. The record is from RNAcentral.
GUCCUAGGCCAGAAGCCUUCAGUGGGAACCAUGGUGAGCUUAGGGUUUAAACCCCAGGAUUGAUCAUGGGUGAAUCAACUUCCUGUUUUGAGAUAUCUGUUUCCUUCAUUCUUUUUCUUCACUCUUUUAUUAGUGCACAUUGGUCAUACAUGAUAUGGGGUUCAUUUUGGUACAUUUGUACAAGCAUAUAACAUACUUGGUAACAUCUCCCCUAUUACCUCACUUCUCAGCCUCCCCAUCUGUUUUCUCAUCUGUAGAAGGAGAAAAAUGUCAUCCUUACCAAAUCAUCAGAUGAGAUUCGAAAUACUGAAAGUAUUUUGCCAAUACUCUGGCACUUUAUGAACCUUGAUCAUUUUGGUGAUUUUCAUUCCCACGGGGCAUUCUUAAUCGAUCAAUUCAUUCAGUCAUUCCACAGAUGGAUAUAAAGCUCAUUCUAGUUCUUCCCAUAAGGCAGUUUCUGUAACCUCCAAGAGUAUCACAUUUUGCAGCUGUGCAGUGGGCAAACAGUAGCUUCAAAGUGCAAUUUCUUUUUUUUGUAGUGAGGAUUGAACCCAGGGGGUGCUGAGCUACAUUUACAGCCCUUUUUACUUUACGUUGAGACUGGUCUAACCAAAUUGCCAAGCCUGGAUUCGAACUUGAGAUGCUCCUAGCUCAGCCUCUGACUAGUAGAAGCAAGAGCAACCAAAGAGUGACUCUGAAGACCCAGCGGGAUACUAAACAUAAAUGCAUACAGCAGUCCCAGCGGAGAGCCCCUGCUCACCCAACGGGAGUCAUGAAAGUUGAUAUAAAUCUUCAGAAAGUGGACAUUGACCAAUGUUCAAGUGAUGGCUGGUUUUCAGGAACUCACAAAUGCCACCUUAACAGUUCAGAGUGCAUGCCGAUUAAAGGCCUGGGGUUUGUCCUGGGAGCCUACGAGUGCAUCUGCAAGGCGGGCUUCUAUCACCCUCGGGUCUUGGUGAACAACUUUCACAGUAAGUGUGCUUCGUUUCUGUGCAUGUGAGCGUACACACCUAACACAUACCACCGACCACCGU